RNAcentral lists this ribosomal RNA (500 nucleotides) under uncultured bacterium. Its description in RNAcentral is "bacterial SSU rRNA". It matches the Rfam family "Bacterial small subunit ribosomal RNA", at positions 8 to 503 of the family's 1533-position model. The record is from RNAcentral.
AGAGUUUGAUCCUGGCUCAGAUUGAACGCUGGCGGCAUGCCUUACACAUGCAAGUCGAACGGCAGCGCGGGCUUCGGCCUGGCGGCGAGUGGCGAACGGGUGAGUAAUAUAUCGGAACGUGCCCUGGAGUGGGGGAUAACUAGUCGAAAGAUUAGCUAAUACCGCAUACGAUCUACGGAUGAAAGUGGGGGAUCGCAAGACCUCAUGCUCGUGGAGCGGCCGAUAUCUGAUUAGCUAGUUGGUGGGGUAAAGGCCCACCAAGGCGACGAUCAGUAGCUGGUCUGAGAGGACGACCAGCCACACUGGGACUGAGACACGGCCCAGACUCCUACGGGAGGCAGCAGUGGGGAAUUUUGGACAAUGGGGGCAACCCUGAUCCAGCAAUGCCGCGUGUGUGAAGAAGGCCUUCGGGUUGUAAAGCACUUUUGUCCGGAAAGAAAUCACUCUGGUUAAUACCUGGGGUGGAUGACGGUACCGGAAGAAUAAGCACCGGCUAACUA